Molecule: long non-coding RNA, 3331 nt
Organism: Ictalurus furcatus (blue catfish)
Lineage: Eukaryota; Metazoa; Chordata; Actinopteri; Siluriformes; Ictaluridae
Exons: 3
Source: RefSeq, a predicted model, not a curated record
UACCCGACUUGGUUAUCAGCGUCUGUAAGAUCCACUAUCGGUCAGCCUUUAAAAUAGAUUAAUGUGUAUGACAUGAUCUUCUUUAAUUAAUAAAGAAAUGCACUUGUUGACAACUUGCUGUGGUAUAAGGGGAAUAAAACACUUCAGAAUGUGCAGUUCUACCUUGGGGUGGUAACGGUCACUCCACUUCAUUGGAUCGUUGACUACUUUCCUAUAACCGCAUGUUUAUUCCUUACAUAAAUUAAACACAAAGCAUGUAGGGGUUCUACAUGCAUGUAAUAUUUGCACAAUCAAUAACCUAUUAGAGUAAUACCUUGUGGUAUAUAAACUGAACUUUGUGUUUGAUGUGUCUAGUGUCCAAAGCCUGUGGUGGUGGCAGUGCAUGGCGUGUGUGGGGGAGCAGGUCUGUUGGGAGUGUUAAGUACCAUCAUCUCAUACACUCAGCAAACAAUAUGGAUGGAACUUUCCAGAAUUGUGGUGUCACUUUCCUGCAAAGCUUUAACCAUCAGAGAGUUAUCUUUUACUGGGGCUUUUAGCUGCAGGAGACUGAAUUACUAACAGUUUUUUUUGUGGAUCUGAUUUCUUCUUUCGCAGGAGUGGAUCUAAUGACAGCCUGUGAUAUUCGUCUGUGCACACAGGAUGCCUGGUUUCAGGUGAAGUCGUGUGUUCCCUGAUGGUCAAUGAUUGCUGGAGCUCUGGAAAUAGCAGGUGAGAUUGCAGGCCGGAGUCCCGUCGCUGUCCAGGGAACCAAAAUCAACCUCCUCUACUCCUGAGACCACAGUGUGACUGAGAGCCUAGACUACAUGGCUACUUGGAACAUGAACAUGUUGCAGACACAGGAUCUUAUGAAGUCAGCGCAGGCAGCCCUGGAAAAGAAGAGUCCGAAAGACGUGCCCUUCUCCAAGCUUUAAAGGAGAAGAUCCAGGGCUGUUGAAGCUGCGGUGGAACUGAGACUUCAUCAUCCACAGAUCUUUAGUUCUUCUUGCUAAGUCUCAGUUUCUUUUUAGUCUUUUUAUUUUUAGACUGGUCAAAAGACUGAUUAGUGGAAGUGAAAUGAUAGAUGAACUUUUAAUUACUUGCUUUAUUAUUUGCAGGUGCCUUGUACAGUAAGACAGGGUAACUAAUACUCAAAAGCUUGUUUUGUGUGUUAACAUGUACAGUAGAUGUACAUAUUUUUUCUGGUGCUGUGUGACUGCAGAAUGUAGUGCAGUUAGCACAUUAAAUUUCCUUGGAUGCUCACUUUUAACUCGAGGAGGUCACAGUUUGCCCAGACAUCUUUUUUUAAAUCCGUCAAUCCGUCACCCACACGUCAUUCUGGGGGACGAAGAGGAGGAAGCUGGACAGAUAAAUUUAUUUAUUUAUUUAUCAUUGCUGUGUUUCCUCAAUCGAGUGCAGAAAGAAGAAAAACAACACAACUGAUUUAAAAUAAAAAUAUAGAAAACAAUCUAAUGUAAGGUUGUGAUCCGGUUUGCUUUCAGCAGGAAGGCUGUCCUGUUUCCUGUUGCUCUUUCCCUUCUAUUAGUCCAUUUGUCCAGUCUGAAUCGGUUUGAUUCGUUUCGAGACGAUUCGGAGUCAAAUAAUUUUCUAGUGAGAGUCGCACACUUCCAAACGAACUAGACUGAGAUGAGUAUUUGAUUCUCACUAGAAAGUGAUUCGACUCUGAAUCAACUCGAAAUGAAUCAGUCAAACUGAUUCAGACUCUAUAAAAGGACUAUGAGAUGUGAUUAAGAUAUAUAGUCCAAUGUUUUGCUUUACAAUUCCACUGUGUGUGUGUGUGUGUGUGUGUGUGUGUGUGUGUGUGUGCGCGCGCGCGCGUGCGCACGUGUGUUUUUCAGGAGAACGAGAAACUCUGACACAACAGUACAUCCUGACCAUUGGUACUGUGUACACAUCAACAUACACGCACGUCUCCAUGCUGGACAUCUCAGGAGCUUUCACACACAGUGCUAGGAAUAUCCCGGGACAGAGAAACGCACCUUCUAAGUGAGCGAGUUUAGCGUCAACCGGUGAAAUUUGCUGUAGCAUGAACACUUCGCCUCUGUGAGCUUCACUCUCCGUCAGGUUCACUGUAAUUAGACAUAAAAGUACAUAAUGUUUAUUUUUCAUACAUUUAGGAUUUAAUGGUUUUUUUUUUUUACUCUUCGAGGAGCAGAAAUGAUCUUUUGAGGCAGCUUCAUCACUACCUGCUCCGUUUGACUCAAAAAUGUAACGACCGGUUUCAAAAAGUCACGAUGUCUUCAGUUCAUGUGAUUUUACUGUUGAAUUUAAACAGGAAAUGUGAAAUAUUUUUUUCCUUUGUUUCCUCUACUGUCUUUUUGCUGUGAUCUUGAACACAGUUGUAUUUUUUUUUAAAUAAUAAAUAAAUGAUCAUUCUAUUCUUUCUCACUUUCCUUGUCCUAAUUGUCCUGUAUCUGUUAAAUCCGUUUCAUCUGUGGUCUUUCUGUCUGUAUUAACACUUGUAGAAAUGACUUGUAGUCCAUAUUUUUAAAUGAUUUUAUUCAUAAUUUUGAAUUUAAAUAAAGAUAUUCUUUAAUUCUGUAUUUUGUCAUUUAAUUAUCAUUAGAAAUCAGAAGAUCAGAUUAAAGCCACGGCUUCUUUACCUGCCGAAGCUGUAAAACUUUCAAUAAACCAGUCAAUAGAUCAACUGCAUAAAUGUAGAUUUUUAUUUACUGAUUAGAUGUAUUGAUGGUGUUGAUAGAUUAUUUGAAGAUUUUUAUUGAUCUUGGACAGAAUCAUUCAGAUAAAUAUUUUUUUAAAAAAAUUGAUAAAUAGUUGAUUAAAUAAAUGUAGUGUAAUGUACUGAGUCAAAUAUGAAAACUACAAAUAAAUAAAAUAUAUUUAUAUCUGUGUAUAAUUAAAAACCUCACUUAAUACAAGAAAUUCAUAUCCUAAAUGUUGCAAGUGAUUAAUCUGAUCAUUUUAUUCAGCUGUUUAAUUAUUACUUUCUAAAUAAUAAACAAAUGAAUGUUCUGGAUUCAUGAGGAAUGUUUACAUUUUGUGUCCAAACUCAAAAGUUUAAACAAAGUGUAUAUUUAUGAUGAUAAAGCACAAAGAACGUGAAACCUCAACACGUCUACAAUCAUCGAUGAAUUAAAUAUUAAUUAAAAAAAUUAAAUUAAACAAGAGUAAGAUGAAAUAUAUUUUUAAUUAAAAUGUAAUUAGAAAGGAGCACUUUUAAAGUGGAUUUGAUUUAAAAUAAUGAUAAAGCUGUUUUUUUAUGUAUUUGUAUAUCUUAUCCUCUAUCGUGUUUAAGAAGAGGAGAAUAAUGAAGCUUUUUAUGAAAUAAUAUUUGGGUUUAUUUUAUUUUAUUUUCUCCUCACAGAUUCAAAUU